AUUAAAUGGCCGCAGUAUACUAACUGUGCAAAGGUAGCAUAAUCAUUAGUCUUUUAAUUGAAGGCUGGUAUGAAUGGUUGGACGAAAUAUUAACUGUUUCAUAAAAAUUUAUAUUAAAAUUUUAUUUUUUAGUCAAAAAGCUAAAAUUUAUUUAAAAGACGAGAAGACCCUAUAAAUCUUUAUAUUUAAAUUAUUAUAAUUUUAUAGAUUAUUUAUAUUAUAAUAAUAAUAAUAUUUUAUUGGGGUGAUAUUAAAAUUUAAUAAACUUUUAAUUGUUUAAAUCAUUAAUUUAUGAAUAAUUGAUCCGUUAUAUAACGAUUAAAAAAAUAAGUUACUUUAGGGAUAACAGCGUAAUUUUUUUGGAGAGUUCUUAUCGAUAAAAAAGAUUGCGACCUCGAUGUUGGAUUAAGAUAUAAUUUUAGGUGUAGCUGCUUAAAUUUUAAGUCUGUUCGACUUUUAA
This 460-nucleotide ribosomal RNA is filed under the name Orthacheta cornuta. Its description in RNAcentral is "partial 16S ribosomal RNA". It matches the Rfam family "Bacterial large subunit ribosomal RNA", at positions 1922 to 2591 of the family's 2925-position model. Lineage: Eukaryota; Metazoa; Arthropoda; Insecta; Diptera; Scathophagidae. The record is from RNAcentral.